This 407-nucleotide ribosomal RNA is filed under the name uncultured prokaryote. RNAcentral describes it as "bacterial SSU rRNA". It matches the Rfam family "Bacterial small subunit ribosomal RNA", at positions 355 to 776 of the family's 1533-position model. RNAcentral also lists the same sequence under 1 other name. The record is from RNAcentral.
UGGGGAAUAUUGCGCAAUGGGGGAAACCCUGACGCAGCAACGCCGCGUGAAGGAUGAAGGUUUUCGGAUUGUAAACUUCUUUGAUGAGGGACGAACACAAUGACGGUACCUCAAGAACAAGCCACGGCUAACUACGUGCCAGCAGCCGCGGUAAUACGUAGGUGGCAAGCGUUGUCCGGAAUUACUGGGUGUAAAGGGCGUGUAGGCGGGGCGGCAAGUCAGAUGUGAAAUACCGUGGCUUAACUGCGGGGGUGCAUCUGAAACUGCUGCUCUUGAGUGUCGGAGAGGAAAGUGGAAUUCCCAGUGUAGCGGUGAAAUGCGUAGAGAUUGGGAGGAACACCAGUGGCGAAGGCGGCUUUCUGGACGACAACUGAUGCUGAGGCGCGAAAGCGUGGGGAGCAAACAGG